GAAAUGCGAUAAGUAAUGUGAAUUGCAGAAUUCCGUGAAUCAUCGAAUCUUUGAACGCACAUUGCGCCCCCUGGCAUUCCGGGGGGCAUGCCUGUCCGAGCGUCAUUACGCACCCUCAAGCCCGGCUUGUGUGAUGGGCCCCGGCGUCUCGUUCGCGAGACGGGCCCGAAAGGCAGCGGCGGCGUCGACCCGAUGAGCCCGAGCGUAUGGGGACUUCUGUCACACGUUCGCGGUGCGGACCGGCGCCUGCUUGACUUUUCUGAUUAUCCAGGUUGACCUCGGAUCAGGUAGGGAUACCCGCUGAACUUAAGC
RNAcentral lists this unclassified non-coding RNA (312 nucleotides) under plant metagenome. RNAcentral describes it as "partial contains 5.8S ribosomal RNA, internal transcribed spacer 2, and large subunit ribosomal RNA". The stretch from base 1 to 105 matches the Rfam family "5.8S ribosomal RNA", at positions 50 to 154 of the family's 154-position model. The record is from RNAcentral.